CAUCACGAGGCUUGAUGAGAAUCUGUUCUACACGUGGAUCAUGCAAGCGGGUCAGCUGAGAGUCUGCAUUUUGCUCUGGUGCCGUUUCCAAAACCWGACUCUCCAAACCUUGCGCCCAUCUUAGUCUUAUCAGUACAGUAACCUACAUCCAUUAUCAGAAGACAACUUGUUACUUAACGACGGAAGCUUUUUGUGAACGGAAAAGAAGCAGGUAUAUUCGAGGACGGAGCUAAGAUAAGGAAGGACGAAUUUUGACGAUUGAAAAUGUGGUACUACAGAUGUUCUACAUACUUCCUAACCAGAUCCUCUGCAACUACAAAUUUCCUUGAGAAAUUCUGAUGAUGACAAUUAUAAUACUCUAUUUUGUAAUGGCCGACCCUUUUUGGUUGUCAAAUUUUAUCAACAGCCCAACCCUUUGAAGGAGUUCAAAAUUAUGUGACCCA
Actinia tenebrosa (Australian red waratah sea anemone) is the source of this 443-nucleotide long non-coding RNA. NCBI's taxonomy places the organism in Eukaryota, Metazoa, Cnidaria, Anthozoa, Actiniaria, Actiniidae. The record is from RefSeq and is a predicted model, not a curated record.